RNAcentral lists this ribosomal RNA (497 nucleotides) under uncultured bacterium. Its description in RNAcentral is "partial 16S ribosomal RNA". It matches the Rfam family "Bacterial small subunit ribosomal RNA", at positions 28 to 507 of the family's 1533-position model. The record is from RNAcentral.
GAUGAACGCUGGCGGCGUGCCUAAUACAUGCAAGUCGAGCGAACAGACGAGGAGCUUGCUCCUCUGACGUUAGCGGCGGACGGGUGAGUAACACGUGGAUCACCUACUUAUAUUACUGGGAUAACUACGGGAAACCGGAGCUAAUACCGGAUAAUAUAUUGAACCGCAUGGUUCAAUAGUGAAAGACGGUUUUGCUGUCACUUAUAGAUGGAUCCGCGCCGCAUUAGCUAGUUGGUAAGGUAACGGCUUACCAAGGCGACGAUGCGUAGCCGACCUGAGAGGAUGAUCGGCCACACUGGAACUGAGACACGGUCCAGACUCCUACGGGAGGCAGCAGUAGGGAAUCUUCCGCAAUGGGCGAAAGCCUGACGGAGCAACGCCGCGUGAGUGAUGAAGGUCUUCGGAUCGUAAAACUCUGUUAUUAGGGAAGAACAAAUGUGUAAGUAACUAUGCACGUCUUGACGGUACCUAAUCAGAAAGCCACGGCUAACUACGUG